UACGUAGGGUGCGAGCGUUAAUCGGAAUUACUGGGCGUAAAGCGUGCGCAGGCGGUUUUGUAAGCCAGAUGUGAAAUCCCCGGGCUUAACCUGGGAAUGGCAUUUGGGACUGCAAGGCUGGAGUUUGGCAGAGGAGACUGGAAUUCCCGGUGUAGCAGUGAAAUGCGUAGAUAUCGGGAGGAAUACCGAUGGCGAAGGCAGGUCUCUGGGCUAUAACUGACGCUCAUGCACGAAGGCCAGGGGAGCAAACGGG
Molecule: ribosomal RNA, 253 nt
Filed under: uncultured bacterium
Lineage: Bacteria
Description: partial 16S ribosomal RNA
Rfam family: Bacterial small subunit ribosomal RNA
Source: RNAcentral